Molecule: ribosomal RNA, 251 nt
Filed under: uncultured bacterium
Lineage: Bacteria
Description: partial 16S ribosomal RNA
Rfam family: Bacterial small subunit ribosomal RNA
Source: RNAcentral
UACGUAGGGGGCAAGCGUUGUCCGGAUUCAUUGGGCGUAGAGCGCGCAGGCGGUCGUUCAAGUCGAGUGUGAAAGCCCCCGGCUCAACUGGGGAGGGUCACUCGAUACUGAUCGACUUGAAGGCAGGAGAGGGAAGCGGAAUUCCCGGUGUAGUGGUGAAAUGCGUAGAUAUCGGGAGGAACACCAGUGGCGAAGGCGGCUUCCUGGCCUGUUCUUGACGCUGAGGCGCGAAAGCUAGGGGAGCAAACGGG